GUUGUAGUCUGGAGAAGCGUCUUCCGCGUUGGACCGUGUACAAGUCUCUUGGAACAGAGCGUCAUAGAGGGUGAGAAUCCCGUCUUUGACACGGACUACCAAUGCUUUGUGAUGCGCUCUCAAAGAGUCGCGUUGUUUGGGAAUGCAGCGCAAAAUGGGAGGUGAAUUCCUUCUAAAGCUAAAUAUUGGCGAGAGACCGAUAGCGAACAAGUACCGUGAGGGAAAGAUGAAAAGCACUUUGGAAAGAGAGUUAAACAGUACGUGAAAUUGCUAAAAGGGAAACGCUUGAAGUCAGUCGCAUCGUCCGGAACUCAGCCUUGCUUCAGCUUGGUGCAUUUUCCGGUUGAUGGGCCAGCAUCGAUUUUGACCGCUGGAAAAGGGCUGGAGGAAUGUGGCACCCUCGGGUGUGUUAUAGCCUUCAGUCGCAUACAGCGGUUGGGAUCGAGGAACGCAGCGCGCCUUAUGGCUGGGGUUCGCCCACAUUCGCGCUUAGGAUGCUGGCAUAAUGGCUUUAAACGACCCGUCUUGAAACACGGACCAAGGAGUCUAACAUGCCUGCGAGUGUUUGGGUGGAAAACCCGAGCGCGUAAUGAAAGUGAAAGUUGAGACCUCUGUCGUGGAGGGCAUCGACGCCCGGACCUGACGUUUUCUGAAGGAUCCGCGGUAGAGCAUGUAUGUUGGGACCCGAAAGAUGGUGAACUAUGCCUGAAUAGGGUGAAGCCAGAGGAAACUCUGGUG
Molecule: ribosomal RNA, 738 nt
Filed under: Trametes conchifer
Lineage: Eukaryota; Fungi; Basidiomycota; Agaricomycetes; Polyporales; Polyporaceae
Description: eukaryotic LSU rRNA
Rfam family: Eukaryotic large subunit ribosomal RNA
Source: RNAcentral